UGGGGAAUAUUGCACAAUGGGCGCAAGCCUGAUGCAGCAACGCCGCGUGAACGAUGAAGGUCUUCGGAUCGUAAAGUUCUGUUGCAGGGGAAGAUAAUGACGGUACCCUGUGAGGAAGCCCCGGCUAACUACGUGCCAGCAGCCGCGGUAAUACGUAGGGGGCUAGCGUUAUCCGGAUUUACUGGGCGUAAAGGGUGCGUAGGUGGUCUUUCAAGUCGGUGGUUAAAGGCUACGGCUCAACCGUAGUUAGCCUCCGAAACUGGAAGACUUGAGUGCAGGAGAGAAAAGUGGAAUUCCUAGUGUAGCGAUGAAAUGCGUAGAGAUUAGGAGGAACACCGGUGGCGAAAGCGGCUUUUUGGCCUGCAACUGACACUGAGGCGCGAAAGCGUGGGGAGCAAACAGG
RNAcentral lists this ribosomal RNA (403 nucleotides) under Verrucomicrobiota bacterium. Its description in RNAcentral is "Verrucomicrobia bacterium partial 16S ribosomal RNA". It matches the Rfam family "Bacterial small subunit ribosomal RNA", at positions 355 to 776 of the family's 1533-position model. Lineage: Bacteria; Pseudomonadati; Verrucomicrobiota. The record is from RNAcentral.